GUGGAGAUUACUGGUGUGAGAGUUCAGACGGAGCGAGAAGCAACGAGGUCCACAUCACUGUAACUGGUGGUCAGGUGAUCCUGGAUAUUCCUGCACGUCCUGUGAUGGAGGGAAGUGAUGUCACUCUGUUCUGUAGAACCAGGGAUGGUUCCAGUGAACCAGCUGUUUUCUACAGAAACAAAACCUUCAUUACAGCUGCACCUGAAACAGGUUUCACCAUCAGUCCAGUCCAACAGUCUGAUGAAGGUUUCUACAGGUGUGAUGUUGGAUAUGUUGGACGUUCAGCAGAGAGCUGGCUGUCUGUCAGAGCUCGUCCUCUUCCUCCUCCUUUACCUCC
This is a long non-coding RNA of Myripristis murdjan (pinecone soldierfish), 337 nucleotides long. RefSeq lists it as uncharacterized. The transcript has 3 exons. NCBI's taxonomy places the organism in Eukaryota, Metazoa, Chordata, Actinopteri, Holocentriformes, Holocentridae. The record is from RefSeq and is a predicted model, not a curated record.